ACCUGUUCGGACUGGUGGGGCAGAUUCAGUGACUAUCUUUCCCUUUGUAAACCAGUUUUUAUUCUUUCGAAAUGGAUGAUUGGCCGGUAAAAACUUUCGAUGAUUAUCAAACCAUGUAGUUUUUCCACCAUGUGAAAGGCUAUAUGCAUCAUGAUCAUGAGCACAAUGGGGACAAGCUAAAUGACCAGCAGUUUUCCAUCCAAACAACAUUGAAUAAGCAGGGAAGUCACUAACAGUCCACAUCAAAGCAGCUCGCAUACGAAAAUUUUGUUUCAAAGAAUUAUCCCAAGUCUCCACACCAACUUCCCAUAACAUUCUCAACUCAGCAAUCAAUGGUUGAAGAAAAACAUCUAUCUUUUGUUUUGGAUUUUUUGGUCCGGGCACAAGUACGGACAUAAAUAAGUACUGUUCUUUUGAGCACAUCCACGGAGGCAAAUUGUAUGGAGUUAUUAUAAUAUGCUAGGUUAAUCAACCUAGGUCCAAAAAGUCUAUUAAAAGUAUUAUCUAUAAUAUAAGGUUAAAGGGAUUAUAUUACAUUGUACAUUAUUCACAAAAGGUUUAAUUGAAUCACCAAUUAUUAUUUUUACUUGGGUAGCAAUGAUGUAUUCGACAAAUCAUUGCGAUAUCAUCUCUUGCCUUCGAAUUAUCUUUGGUUUUACCUUCAAUGGCCAUGAUAGUGUUGAAGAUAUUUUCAAAGACAUUCUUCUCAAUAUGCAUAACAUCAAGAUUAUGUCUAAUUGAUAGUGUCCUCCAAUAUGGUAAAUCCCAAAAGAUGCUUCUUUUUUUCCAUCCACAAUUAUAAGCUUUAAUGACUCUAGCAUUGUGCUCUUCACUUCCCAAUUCAGUAACUUUCAUCAAACCAAGUGACUCUAUUUCUUAAAAACACAUCUUCACCUGUUCGGACUGGUGGGGCAGAUUCGGUGACUAUCUUUCCCUUUGUAAACCAGUUUUUAUUCUUUCGAAAUGGAUGAUUGGCCGGUAAAAACUUUCGAUGAUUAUCAAACCAUGUAGUUUUUCCACCAUGUGAAAGGCUAUAUGCAUCAUGAUCAUGAGCACAAUGGGGACAAGCUAAAUGACCAGCAGUUUUCCAUCCAAACAACAUUGAAUAAGCAGGGAAGUCACUAACAGUCCACAUCAAAGCAGCUCGCAUACGAAAAUUUUGUUUCAAAGAAUUAUCCCAAGUCUCCACACCAACUUCCCAUAACAUUUUCAACUCAGCAAUCAAUGGUUGAAGGAAAACAUCUAUCUUUUGUUUUGGAUUUUUUGGUCCGGGCACAAGUACGGACAGAAAUAAGUACUGUUCUUUUGAGCACAUCCACAGAGGCAAAUUGUAUGGAGUUACUAUAAUUGGCCAACAAGAAUAUGAUUUAUCAGUUGCACCAAAUGGUUGAAACCCAUCAGCAGAAAGUCCCAGUCUAACAUUUCUCGUCUCUGAGGAAAAUGAGGGAUGUGCUCUAUCAAAUUGUUUCCACUCCUCCGAAUCUGAACAAUGACGCAUCACACCUUCUUCUUCAUCAUGUUCAGCAUGCCAUCUCAUAUGCGUUGCUGUCGUAGGCCAAGCAUAUAACCUUUGCAAUCUCGGUGCUAAUGGAAAAUAGAUCAUCCUUCUAACAGGCACUUUCUUUCUCUCCUUCUUGGCUUUGUUAAGUCUUGUUUUGUAUCUAGCAUGCGAACAAAAUUUACAAGACUCCAUGUUGAUGUCUUCACCCCAGUAUAUCAUGCAUCCAUUAACACAACAAUC
RNAcentral lists this long non-coding RNA (1741 nucleotides) under Daucus carota (carrot). RNAcentral describes it as "long non-coding RNA (DCAR_LNC006435)". The record is from RNAcentral. Lineage: Eukaryota; Viridiplantae; Streptophyta; Magnoliopsida; Apiales; Apiaceae.